This is a long non-coding RNA of Brassica napus (rape), 865 nucleotides long. RefSeq lists it as uncharacterized. The transcript has 2 exons. The record is from RefSeq and is a predicted model, not a curated record. Lineage: Eukaryota; Viridiplantae; Streptophyta; Magnoliopsida; Brassicales; Brassicaceae.
AAAUUCCAUUGUUUAGUAAAAUAUUAGAAAAAAUAUCCAAAUCAUUUAAAACAAAAUGGAAAUAAAUUCUAAAGAAUCAAAAUUAAAAACUAUUCAAAAGGUACUAAAUUGAUAUUUAGAAUGACAUUAUGUAAAUCAACAUACAAAUUUAACUACCACGAAGAAACAAAUUAAAUCUUAAAAGUUAUAAAAUUCUAAAAAUCAUAUCUGCCAAUAGGGGUGUCAAAAUGGGUCAUAACCCAUGGGUUGACCCAACCUAAAUUGACCCAUUAACCCAAAUGAACUGUUUAUUUUUGAUCCAAUGGGUUAAUGGAUAAAUAGGUUAAUGGGUUAAUAGGUUAAUAGGUUAACAAGUUAAUGGGUUAACAAGUUAAUGAGUUAACAGGUUAAAUAGUUUUAUUGGGUUGGGUCAACUCUGACCCAUUUAAUUUUUAAUUAAGAAAACCCAAAAAAACAAAAAAAAACUCACGUAUCUCUCUCUCUCGCCAUCUCUCUCUUUCGCCGUCUCUCAUCUCACCAUGAAAGGAGCUUGAAGCUCUCAUCCCGCCGUCUCUCUCUCUCUCUCUCGCCGCCUCUCAUCUCGUUGUCUCUAUCUCUCGCCGUCUCUCUCCCACCGUCUCUCUCUCUCGCCGUCUCUCUCUCUCCGUCUCGCUCACGCCGUCUCUCUCGCUCGAGCUUGUACAAACUAGGAACGUCUAAUGGCGCAGAACCAAACUUAUAUUCUCCCUGUAUGGAAAAAUAUGUUCCAGAAACUGCUCUCUUGUUGUUUUAUGGUACUUGUUUAGAUGAUUUCGUUGAUGCUUUCAGAUUCUCGGUAGUAUAUUUUGUGACUGGUUCUGAUAAAAGGAGUUCUUAGUACUUGAUC